UACAGAGGGGGCAAGCGUUGUUCGGAAUUACUGGGCGUAAAGGGCGCGUAGGUGGCCUUCUAAGUUGAAUGUGAAAUCCCUGGGCUCAACCCAGGAACUGCGUCCAAGACUGGGAGGCUUGAAUCCGGGAGAGGGAUGCGGAAUUCCAGGUGUAGCGGUGAAAUGCGUAGAUAUCUGGAGGAACACCGGUGGCGAAGGCGGGUCUCUGGGCCGAUACUGACGCUGAGGAGCGAAAGCGUGGGGAGCGAACAGG
This 253-nucleotide ribosomal RNA is filed under the name uncultured bacterium. RNAcentral describes it as "partial 16S ribosomal RNA". It matches the Rfam family "Bacterial small subunit ribosomal RNA", at positions 524 to 776 of the family's 1533-position model. The record is from RNAcentral.